UUUAAGAUGGCAGAAAAAUGCGUUGGAUUUAAGCUCCAAAGAUGGUAAAACCCUCUU
This 57-nucleotide transfer RNA is filed under the name Prosthiostomum siphunculus. RNAcentral's name for it is "tRNA-Leu". Lineage: Eukaryota; Metazoa; Platyhelminthes; Polycladida; Prosthiostomidae. The record is from RNAcentral.